RNAcentral lists this ribosomal RNA (403 nucleotides) under uncultured bacterium. RNAcentral's name for it is "bacterial SSU rRNA". It matches the Rfam family "Bacterial small subunit ribosomal RNA", at positions 356 to 773 of the family's 1533-position model. The record is from RNAcentral.
GGGGAAUAUUGGUCAAUGGGGGAAACCCUGAACCAGCAACGCCGCGUGAAGGAAGAAGGCCUUCGGGUUGUAAACUUCUUUGACAGGGGACGAAGAAAGUGACGGUACCCUGAAAACAAGCCACGGCUAACUACGUGCCAGCAGCCGCGGUAAUACGUAGGUGGCGAGCGUUGUCCGGAUUUACUGGGUGUAAAGGGCGCGUAGGCGGGUAUGCAAGUCAGAUGUGAAAUUUAUGGGCUUAACCCAUAAACUGCAUUUGAAACUGUGUAUCUUGAGUGAUGGAGAGGUAAGUGGAAUUCCUAGUGUAGCGGUGGAAUGCGUAGAUAUUAGGAGGAACACCAGUGGCGAAGGCGACUUACUGGACAUUAACUGACGCUGAUGCGCGAAAGCGUGGGGAGCAAAC